GAAUCGGAGGAAGGUGGGGAUGACGUCAAGUCAUCAUGGCCCUUAUGUCCAGGGCGACACACGUGCUACAAUGGCCGGCACAGCGGGAAGCGGAGGGGCGACCCUGAGCGGAUCCCUUGAAAGCCGGUCCCAGUUCGGAUUGCAGUCUGCAACUCGACUGCAUGAAGUUGGAAUCGCUAGUAAUCGCGGAUCAGCCAAGCCGCGGUGAAUACGUUCCCGGGCCUU
RNAcentral lists this ribosomal RNA (225 nucleotides) under uncultured Thermovirga sp. Its description in RNAcentral is "partial 16S ribosomal RNA". It matches the Rfam family "Bacterial small subunit ribosomal RNA", at positions 1160 to 1382 of the family's 1533-position model. The record is from RNAcentral. Lineage: Bacteria; Thermotogati; Synergistota; Synergistia; Synergistales; Thermovirgaceae.